CCUACGGGGGGCAGCAGUGGGGAAUAGUGGACAAUGGGGGCAACCCUGAUCCAGCCAUGCCGCGUGUGUGAAGAAGGCCCUCGGGGUGUAAAGCACUUUCAGUGAGGAAGAACGCCUGGUGGUUAAUACCCAUCAGGAAAGACAUCACUCACAGAAGAAGCACCGGCUAACUCCGUGCCAGCAGCCGCGGUAAUACGGAGGGUGCGAGCGUUAAUCGGAAUUACUGGGCGUAAAGCGCGCGUAGGUGGCUUGAUAAGCCGGUUGUGAAAGCCCCGGGCUCAACCUGGGAACGGCAUCCGGAACUGUCAAGCUAGAGUGCAGGAGAGGAAGGUAGAAUUCCCGGUGUAGGGGGGAAAUGCGUAGAGAUCGGGAGGAAUACCAGUGGCGAAGGCGGCCUUCUGGACUGAAACUGACACUGAGGUGCGAAAGCGUGGGUAGCAAACAGGCUUAGAUACCCUGGUAGUC
This 465-nucleotide ribosomal RNA is filed under the name Vreelandella stevensii. Its description in RNAcentral is "partial 16S ribosomal RNA". It matches the Rfam family "Bacterial small subunit ribosomal RNA", at positions 338 to 795 of the family's 1533-position model. The record is from RNAcentral. Lineage: Bacteria; Pseudomonadati; Pseudomonadota; Gammaproteobacteria; Oceanospirillales; Halomonadaceae.